CCGAUCCGUGCCGCCUGCCCGAACUGUUUUGAGCAUGCGCAUAAUUAUGCGCAUGCGCAGAAGCUCUACGUGUUUUACGACAGUUUACGACCCUACCUGAUCUGUUCUACGCAUGCGCGACAACCGGAGUUUAAAAAUAGUGAAGAAAUGCGUCAUAUAACAACACCGGCGAACAUAUGGAGGCUAAGUAAUUUGUAUAAAGGACCAACAUGGACCAGUAUUUAUUUCAUGCUGCCCUUCGGCAGUACCUACUAAGUGGGAUGUCGAUGUCGCGGUUGACUGGAAGAGAGUCAUGCAGGUGGCCAACCACUUCGUUGUAGAUGAUUUGUCCAUACUGAUGGCCAUGCAGCAUAGUUGAAGCAGACCUGUCAGAAAACAUCUCUAAGGUGCUAUGAAUCCAAUGACUAGAUACGCAUCCUUAAAUUACUAGAGGUUACGGAAGCUCCUUUUUGGAUCCAGCUUCAUUUGUGAAGACUUCAGAUGAUGCCAACACUCACAGAGACUUAAGACGAUGGCAACAAUAGAUGAAGCAACACUCACAAAGACUUUAGAUGAUGGCAACUAUAGAUGGACAUACAAAAUUGCCAAAUAUAAUAUUGUAAUUACUGCCCCAAAGCGCAAGUUUGCAGAUUUUUAACCCACUUUAUAUUGUUACAAAUACAAUAGAUGCUAACAUUUGAACAGAAAAUGUUUCCUCUUUAUUCUUGAGUUAAUUGUGCUGAUUUAUUCCCUUUUUUUUUAAUCCACAGUACUUUGCCAAAAUUAUGUUUUGCAUCAUCCAAAUGGUUCAUUUACAAAUUACAGACAUUGUAACAACACAAAGUGGGUUGAAAUUCUGCCAACUUACCCUAUAAUAAUAAUAAUUGUCUUUUAACUGAACAUGACUUUAAACACAUGACUUGUAUUAUCUUAGAGCUAUUGUGAUAUUAAUAUUGUUUUGUUUCCAGAAUAUUCUCCUCAGUGAGUCACUGUUACCUCGGACUGAUUAAGGGAUUUUUUGUAACCUUGAAACAUGCAUUGGUUUUACAAUGGUCAAACUGCAGAUCUUAUUUCAAGGUUUUGUUACCAUGGUUCUACUACAGUAACAAUAUUGAAAUGCUGGAAUGAAACUGUGGUAACCAUAU
Paramisgurnus dabryanus is the source of this 1124-nucleotide long non-coding RNA. RefSeq lists it as uncharacterized. The record is from RefSeq and is a predicted model, not a curated record. NCBI's taxonomy places the organism in Eukaryota, Metazoa, Chordata, Actinopteri, Cypriniformes, Cobitidae.